RNAcentral lists this ribosomal RNA (514 nucleotides) under uncultured bacterium. RNAcentral's name for it is "partial 16S ribosomal RNA". It matches the Rfam family "Bacterial small subunit ribosomal RNA", at positions 29 to 523 of the family's 1533-position model. The record is from RNAcentral.
AGUGAACGCUGGCGGCGUGCUUAAUACAUGCAAGUCGAGCGAACAGAUGAGAAGCUUGCUUCUCUGAUGUUAGCGGCGGACGGGUGAGUAACACGUGGGUAACCUACCUAUAAGACUGGGAUAACUCCGGGAAACCGGGGCUAAUACCGGAUAAUAUUUUGAACCGCAUGGUUCAAUAGUGAAAGAUGGUUUCGGCUGUCACGUAUAGAUGGACCCGCGCCGUAUUAGCUAGUUGGUAAGGUAACGGCUUACCAAGGCGACGAUACGUAGCCGACCUGAGAGGGUGAUCGGCCACACUGGAACUGAGACACGGUCCAGACUCCUACGGGAGGCAGCAGUAGGGAAUCUUCCGCAAUGGGCGAAAGCCUGACGGAGCAACGCCGCGUGAGUGAUGAAGGUCUUCGGAUCGUAAAACUCUGUUGUUAGGGAAGAACAAAUUUGUUAGUAACUGAACAAAUCUUGACGGUACCUAACCAGAAAGCCACGGCUAACUACGUGCCAGCAGCCGCAGUAA